UACGAAGGUGGCAAGCGUUGUUCGGAUUUACUGGGCGUAAAGAGUGCGUAGGCGGCUUAACAAGUCAGAAGUGAAAGCCCAGGGCUCAACCCUGGAAUUGCUUUUGAAACUGUUUCGCUUGAAUCCGGUAGAGGUUGGCGGAAUUCUCAGUGUAGAGGUGAAAUUCGCAGAUAUUGAGAGGAACACCAGUGGCGUAAGCGGCCAACUGGACCGGUAUUGACGCUGAGGCACGAAAGCGUGGGUAGCAAACAGG
Molecule: ribosomal RNA, 253 nt
Filed under: uncultured bacterium
Lineage: Bacteria
Description: partial 16S ribosomal RNA
Rfam family: Bacterial small subunit ribosomal RNA
Source: RNAcentral